This 498-nucleotide ribosomal RNA is filed under the name uncultured bacterium. Its description in RNAcentral is "bacterial SSU rRNA". It matches the Rfam family "Bacterial small subunit ribosomal RNA", at positions 29 to 521 of the family's 1533-position model. The record is from RNAcentral.
AUUGAACGCUGGCGGCGUGCCUAACACAUGCAAGUCGAGCGGCAGCGCGGGAGCAAUCCUGGCGGCGAGCGGCGGACGGGUGAGUAACGCUUGGGAAUCUGCCUGUUAGUGGGGGACAACCCGGGGAAACUCGGGCUAAUACCGCAUACGCACUACGGUGGAAAGCCGGGGACCGCAAGGCCUGGCGCUAACAGAUGAGCCCAAGUCGGAUUAGCUAGUUGGUAGGGUAACGGCCACCAAGGCGACGAUCCGUAACUGGUCUGAGAGGACGACCAGUCACACCGGAACUGAGACACGGUCCGGACUCCUACGGGAGGCAGCAGUGGGGAAUAUUGGACAAUGGGGGAAACCCUGAUCCAGCGACGCCGCGUGGGUGAAGAAGGCCUGCGGGUUGUAAAGCCCUUUCAGUGGGGGAAGAAAAGCCUCGACCUAAUACGUUGGGGUCUUGACGUAACCCAUAGAAGAAGCACCGGCUAACUCUGUGCCAGCCGCCGCCGU